UACGAAGGGGGCUAGCGUUGCUCGGAAUCACUGGGCGUAAAGCGCACGUAGGCGGCUUCUUAAGUCGAGGGUGAAAUCCUGGAGCUCAACUCCAGAACUGCCUUUGAUACUGAGGAGCUUGAGUCCGGGAGAGGUGAGUGGAACUGCGAGUGUAGAGGUGAAAUUCGUAGAUAUUCGCAAGAACACCAGUGGCGAAGGCGGCUCACUGGCCCGGUACUGACGCUGAGGUGCGAAAGCGUGGGGAGCA
This 247-nucleotide ribosomal RNA is filed under the name uncultured bacterium. Its description in RNAcentral is "partial 16S ribosomal RNA". It matches the Rfam family "Bacterial small subunit ribosomal RNA", at positions 524 to 770 of the family's 1533-position model. The record is from RNAcentral.